This 198-nucleotide ribosomal RNA is filed under the name uncultured bacterium. RNAcentral describes it as "partial 16S ribosomal RNA". It matches the Rfam family "Bacterial small subunit ribosomal RNA", at positions 326 to 539 of the family's 1533-position model. The record is from RNAcentral.
ACGCUCGACACCUACGGCAGGCAGCAGUGGGGAAUAUUGCACAAUGGGGGAAACCCUGAUGCAGCGACGCCGCGUGAGUGAAGAAGUAAUUCGUUAUGUAAAGCUCUAUCAGCAGGGAAGAAAGUGACGGUACCUGAGUAAGAAGCCCCGGCUAACUACGUGCCAGCAGCCGCGGUAAUCUGAGCGGGCUGGCAAGGC